AUUAGCAGUGCUGGGCUUGAACUAGCAAAUGUGCUGGUGACUUCUCCUCCCCUGCACCAGUCAUGGGCAGCUGUUCAGAAGCAAAAGCUCAACACAGCUCCUGAUCCGAAUACGCAAACGGCCUUAUAUGUUACUGAAACCAAGCAUUCAAACACCACCAUCAUAUCUUUUCUUACUUCACCCGUCAUGCUUCAAGAUCCACAAGCAAUGAUUUCGUCGUUGACUCUGAGGGACAAAAAUUUUCCCCUCUUUGAGUUUUUGUGCAGCAAAAACGCCCCAAUUUUCUCCGUCAAUGAAUUGGCAAUCGAAUUCUUCGCCUUGAAUCACAACGACCUCAACCUCGAUCUUCUGAGGACAAAGGUGCAUAUUGUUGUCUCUCUGAUAACUGAUUGUGUUUAACUGCUUAGACUAUUAAUGUUAGUGAGAAACAUUUAAAAAUCAUGUUUAUAAAUGUUAGAUUAUGUUGGCGCGAAACACUUACAAACCCUUGAUUAAUACUGUUAUAAGGGGCAUUUAUUGCAUCGUAUUAUCUCAGACUUGACUAGCUUGCUUGGUUUGGACUUAAGCAUGAUAAGAAUAGGGGCUCAAAAAAUUAAUUUCAAUUUUCUUUUAGUUUUUUUACUUCUCCCUCCACCAGUUACACACCUCACUCAAUAAAAUGUCCUACGAACACCAGAACUUCACUAUGCACUACGUGCAACGAACAUAAUUAUAUUUUCCACUUUGUAAUUGUGCAGAGACUUUCAUAAUUUUCUUUCAAAUUAACACUACCAAUCUUUAUUAGAACCAAAAAAUGGAAAAACUUAUUGAUUUGCACAAUUUACUAGAUUUUAAAAUUGCCAGAUACUUUUUAUGAAGGGAAAAAAAAACAAACUUUAACGAAAAGCAUUCGGUACUGUUCACUUUAACGAAAAACCACAUUUUUGCCCUAAAAAAUCAAUCCUGGUACUAUUCACUUUAUCAUUUAUUUUGUCCUUAUCAUUAAAACUCAAAGUUUUCAAGUCUCUUUCAUUAGUUUUCUUAAAAAAAAAUUAUGCGUGAACAACACUUCUCACAAAAAAAAAAAAUAAUGAAAUAUAUAAAUACAUACCAAAGUAAAUGUUUGCACACACUAACAUGCAAUAUAUGCAGUUUUUCAUUUUGUCAAACAAAUACAACAUAGCACAUUAAAGACAUUUUGUAAAUCCUAUGGGUUGGUUAAUAUGGGCAACAACCUUGGGUUUGGUUGUCAAGUACUUAGCAGGAUCUUCGAAAUUGUUCCAUAACACUGCUCCGAAAUUGCAUUCUUUAAUCCCUGCUUGCAAAUGCAAAAGUGGUUAUCAAUCGCUCCCUACUACUGUAAAAGGGAGAUAAUGAUAGAACUAAUUCAAUGUGAAAAACUAUAAGCUUCAAUGAAAUCAAAUGACAGGAGAAAAUUAAUGCAAGUCACCACUUCUUGAGGAUGAAGAGGGAGAGCAUCGAUGAAUAUUUUACUUCAAAUUAAGGGAUUUCUUCUAAGGAGGUUUAUAGGGUUACCUAUUUGCAAGAUGACAUUUAUGUAAACCUGUGUGGAUAACGGAGAACAUGUAGUUAAUAUAUUAUAGUUGAGAAAAGCUAUCUUUCUUCUUGUAGUUCAUUUGUAAAUUUAUAAGAAUACCUCAUGUUUAUGUAUUACCAUCACCCAGCUUUAAACCAUAUAAACAUGUGUGGAUGACUGAUUUUGUAACGUAAAAGAUAGAAAAUCAAGAUGACAUUUAGAAGUCAAGAUAAGUAGGAAAGGGAUGCAAAAAAGAAGUGGGAAAGGGAUGCAAGAUAAGUGGAAGUCACAAAGCGGAUAGCUUUUCAUAUGGCCUCAAGGUUGAUAAAUUUACAAUGGUUAAGGAUGCAAAUCCGAUAUCUCCAUAAGUUUGAGUCAGUAGAGGCACUUGAAAAUAGAAUGAUAAGAUGGUAACUUCAUUCUGGUUAAUCGAAUGUUUUAGCUAGCAGCAAGUGGGUCAAGGCUCGAUGCCAAAGUCAUAAACUAUGGUUUUAAAGCACAUUUCAGCCACCAAAACCCAGAGUACUCAUGUCAAAUAUUAACAGCCAAAAUCCUGAGUACACACGAUAAACUAUAAUUCAUUAAUGGGAAUGAAACAUCUGAGAAAAUGUGAACUCAACAACCAAAACCCAGUGUACCCAUGUCAAAUAUUAACAACAAAGGAAUUUAUGUAUGUAUGUCAGGAAUCAAACAAAAAAUUAUCACCCAAAAUAAAAAUCAAUCAGGGGUGCUUUAUGUAAUAGGAAGCCCAGAACCACUGUUCUAAGUGUUAGGCGGUUGGCCACCACCCCGAUUAAUGCCUAGACAUUUGAAAAUUAAGAAAGGGCGUAUUGACUUGUUGAGGCACCCUCCUAGACCGCCUCGAGACCCGCCUAGACCGCCUAACCCGUCUAGAUCUGCCUAGGCAUCCGCCUAGGUCACAACUCACUUAAACAGAAAAUAGAUCACUUUCAUUUUGCAUUUUAUUUUUCAAUAAAUUGUAAGAGACUUGUUGCAUACUUAAAUGAACACACAUUAUAUCCUUGUUCCCCAUGAUUUCAUUAUGUUUCAAUACUUCAUAAUGUAUAUGUCAUUCUAUUUUGUAGUUUAUGAUGAAAUUAUAUAUAUUUUAAAUAUAAAUACGUACUUAUUUACACGAAAUAUAAUAGAUUUUACUUAAAUCCGCCUAGUCCGCCUAGGCCCCGUCUAGCCGCCUAGGUUCUUGGUCCAAACCCGCCGCCCUACUAGCGCCUUUUAGAACCUUACCCAAAACAAAAUAAAAAAACGGCUAUAUGGGUUAUAGAUCAGAAAAUGGUGCUUUUGCAUGCUCAAAAGAUUGUUAAAAGGCCAUAAAAUGGUGAUUAUUAUGUAACCAAAUUGGAGAAUUUUGGAUAAGAUUAAACAACAAUAAGCAGGGAACAAAGAAAAAAUUGCAAUCAAUUUACAAAAACUUAGCAAUAAGUUCACAUAAGGAAAAAUAGCAGAUAAAUUGGGUAGCAAUCAAUUAAAAAGCGCACCCAAUCACAGAACACAAAUGUACACGCACCCAAUUUUUGUGCUAGAAAUUCAAAAUUUUUAGAGAUUUCGCAUGCAAACAAUGAAAUCAAUCAAAACCCAAUAAUAAUUACGAUCUGCAAAACAAAAUUGAAGAAAUUGAUUGUCAAAUUCAGAAUUUACCAAACAGGACGAGGAUGAAGGAGCGGGACGAGGAUGAGGGAGCAGAAUGAGCAUGACCAGGAUGGGUUAGCAGGACCAGGACGAGCGAGCAACUGUCUCGAAGAUGGUCGUAGCAAUCCGAUGAUAUUGGGGUUCUCGCUAAGAACUUCUAGUGAAGCAGUUUGUUGGAGCAAGUUUGACUUAAUCCCAUUAAACUUAAUUCUUCUGUCUAACAAACACAAGAUUACACUAACAAUUAGUCCUAUUCAGUUCAAUGAGAUCUAGUGAGCCUAAACAAACACACCCUAAGAGCUUAAUGUAGUAACAGUUGAGUCCCUUCCCCCUUUAAAGAAAAUUAAUGAAAAAUGCUUCAAAACUUUACAUUUUAAUAAAAAAUUAUUUAGUAACUUUAUUUAAUGAUAAAGAUAAAAAAAAUAAAAAAUUUAAACAUGCAUGUGCCUAGCCCGCGUCCCCCUCUCCCCCCCCCCCCAAUAUAACCAAAUAAGAAAAAGUAAAUGAAAACACACUACACAUACAUAUGAUAUUAUGUAUGAAUUAGCUAACUGUAACAACGAUGACACCUAUUUUUAGGCCUUUGACAAAAUAAGUUAACACAAACACACGUCUGGUGCUAUAAUCUCGUAAGUUUCACAAACAGUGUAGUACUAUUAAAUUUCAUAAACAAUGUUAAGUUUCAUAAACAGUAUAGUAAGUUUCAUAAACAAUGUGUAUGUAGACGCACGGUCCCCUGCGUUAGUUUUUUUUUUUUUUAAAUUAUGUCUUUUUCAUUAAAAUUUAAAGUUCUUUUGUCAUUUUUAUUAAAGUUUAAGAGUUUUUCAUUAAUAUUUAAGUAUUUUUUAUUAAAUAAAGUUAUAGCAUGAUUUUUUGUUAAAAUAAAUUUAAUCAAAUGCCUUUUCAUGAAAGUUCCCUUUCUUUAUUGUUUCAAAACCGAGUUUUAAGUAUUUUUUUUUUUCUAAUAUGAAUGAAGUUCUGAGGACCUUAUUCGUAGAGACGUCUCCGAACUGAUUAAAUGGCAGUUCAGUAAUUGACUAACUUUUAUGUAAUAUUUCAGCUGGUAGAAAGAAGCAAAUCCAACUCAUUGGUACUUGUCACUGGACAAUCUUUUGGAGGCGCUGUAGCUACCCUUUUCACCUUAUGGCUGCUAGAAAGCCUCGACUUAUCGAAAGUGAAACGUCCCCUUUGUAUCGCUUUUGGUUCACCUUUGAUCGGUGACAAACAAUUCGGACAAUGUGUGUUGCAAUUCCCAUUGUGGAGUUCUUGCUUCUUGAAUGUAGCCUCCAUCGAUGAUCCUGUACUUCAAUUCUUCCAAACCGCUUCGCAAGCGAGUGGUUAUAAGCCUUUCGGAACAUUCCUACUGUGCUCCUCUUCGGGUGGUUCUUGCUUUGAGGACCCUGAUGCCAUUUUGCAACUAUUGGUGGAAACCAGCUCUCGGUGUGCCCAAAAUCCAGGUCUGAAUUCAGGGAUUCAGUUGUUCGAUUACGGAAAGAUUUUGAAUGAUCUCAAGACUAAGGCAUUGUCUAGAGAUGUCUUUGAGUUGGUUGAAGAGGAUAGAGUUCCACUUAAAGCUGGAAUUAAAACACAGUUGGCAGCAAUAUUAGGAGUUCUCAGCUCACAGGUAUCAAACUUUCAACAGAAAUAUCUGAUUUGAUGAUGAUUUUGGGAAAUGGGUUCCGCACAAACCUGUUUAUUUCCAUCUCUUGAUUCUCCUUUGAUUUAUUUAAUCCAAAGACUAGAAAUAAACACGGGUGUGCAGGGGGGGAAUAUGAGAUUGCGGAAAUCACACCCCAUGUUUUGCUUCUAGCUACUAACUUUUCUCUCAACUACUUUUGUAAAAGUCAUUGCAGCAGCAACAACCCAACAUAGAAUUCGAAAGUCUGAUGAAAAAGAUGGUCACUCACGAACGUAAACUAGCGAUGCAGAAGACGAAGGUUUACAGUUCCUACUUGAAACUGAAUGAGAUGGAAAAGUACAUGGCCUACAUGGAAUGGUACAAGAUGUCGUCCGAAGACAUGGGAAUAGGAUACUAUGACAGGUACAGAAACAAGCGUUACGCGAGUGACAUUAUGGCCGAAGAGUACAAGAGGACGCUCUCAAGGUAUUGGCAUGACACGGUUACAGAAGCUGCGAACAAGCCCCGGCAAGAAGGAGCCGCAAUGCCAGCCCCUUUUCUUUUUGCUGGAACGAAUUACAGAAAGAUGAUCGAACCACUUUGCAUUGCAGAGUACUACAAGGAAGGUGGAAAAGAUUACAUAGAGGAAAGGCCUGGACAUUUCGUUCUUUUGGAGCAAUGGUACAAUGAAGAGGAGGAAAAUAAGAAGAAAGAGAGGGAAGAAAAGGAGAACCCACAACUGCGCAGCGCAAGCAAGCCCAAUUCAAAAGCGAAGAACGAGGCUCCUAAUCUGAAUGAUGAUUCUUGUUUUUGGGCGCACGUCGAGGAAGCGCUUAUCUGGUGCAACGAACAAGCGAGUAAUCCAGAUGCUAAGCCAAUGACCGAAUAUGAGCUUUACGUUCUGAAUAUGCUCGAGAAUUUCGCAGUUACGGUUGAUAUUUUCUUGAAAAAUAGCAGCUUCAUGCAUUGGUGGAACAAGUAUAAAGUAAUUGUGGGAAGCAACUACUCCUCAGCAUUUACCGAGGUCAUGAAGCGUAAGACUUAUCGCAAAUAUGCGGAUGGGGUCUCAGUUCGUACUGAUCAAUAAUCCAAUAUAAUUAAGUUUUAAGCAAGCAAUUAAAUCAGAUAAAGCAAGAUUAAUUUUGCUGUAUCGCUUAUGAUCUUCAUAGAGAGACGUGCAUUACUUGCAGGGCUUGUUGGUGCUACUAGUACUACUUUUGGAUAUUUUAAUUUGUUUGUGGUUUCUUUUUGUGUGGGGGUAAUGUUUCAAGGGGUAAAUCUCAGUUUAGUAUUCUUAAAUUUUGUGUUUUUCAACAUGUAGUACAUUAAGUUAUUUUUGUCUCCGAGUUAUACUUAAAUUGUUAAUUUUGGGACAGUCUCAUACAUCCGUUAGUCUGACUGUUAAGUCUCCCAUUAAUUGAUGAUGCGACGCCUAUGUGAACAAUAACUGGACGUCAUGUGUCAUUAAAAGGUUCACGUGGAAAUUCAAAAAAAAAAAAAAAAAAAAACCGAAAUUUCAAAAUUCAAAAUUUUAAAAUUUCAAAAAUUAAUAAAUUAAAAAAAGGUGGGGAUAAUUUCUUCCUCUAUCCCCGUCCCUUUUUCUCUCUUAUGCAAUUAUUGAGCUCUCCUUUGAAUCUCAGAUCCCCAGCAACCCUUGCCCUUGCGACCUUGUAACCCUUAGCAGAGGUUUGCAAACCUCGUAACCAUCGCCUUUUGUUACGAUCCAAUUCUCUAAACCCUUAAUCAACUGGCAAGUAACACAGAGGGUCGAGAGGAGGAGGGAAGGAGGAAGGUAGAAGGAGCGGAGCUCCAAUAUUUUUGUUUAUAUUUCUUUUUGUGUAAAUUCUCAUCUGAUUACAAUAGUGAGAGCUAGUGCUCUUGAGUCUUAUACAAGUCACAACUCAUCAUGCCAGCUAGCUAAUUAUAACAAACUUCACUAAAACAGGAAUAAGCCUAAUAAUCCCAAGAUUAAAACCCUUAAUAGUGAUUAAGCUAAUCACUAAUUACAGAUCAUAUCAUUACUCCCCCCUUGAAAAACAACCUUGUCCUCAAGGUUAGGAUUAGCACUUGAAAUCUGGAACUUUUUCGCAGUGAAUUCAUCAUAAGCCUCUUUGCUUUUAUUGUCUGACCAAGGCACUGCACCAAAACUUGGACUGCAAAAACCUUGGUUGAUAUCUGCAACCUAUCCCAGAUGCUGAAAAAAAAAAAAAAGAGAACAAGCUUUGGAGAUGACUCCCCGCGAAGCCUUGAUGUCUCAGCUGGAAAGAAUUUCUCCCCGUCAUGUGAUGUAUGCAGAUUAUCCCUUACAAUCAAUUCUGGACCUUCCAAGCUGAGUCUCCCUGAAACAGAUGGGAAAUUUAUUAGAAAAAUAGAUCAGCCCACAUGUGUGUAAUCUAUAUACAAAAAAUCACUCUCUUCAUUAGCCAAAUCGUUUCACAAAUCCCAAAACACAGAACUAUAUCUUGAACAGUGCUAAUUAAUGAUUUCCCAUUUACUUAAGCCCAACAUCAGCGCCAAUGAACUGAUGAAAGAGCGAAAAAGAGAAACAAAAAACCUCAAUGAAGCAAUUAAAUGGAGAAUUACUUGAUAGUGCUGGAAAAUUACUACAAAACGUUUGAAAAUUACCCAUUAAGAUUAUAAAAAAUUAAAAAAAAUUAAAAAAAAAAGAUGAUGUGGAGUGGAGUGGGAAUCACAUACCGCCAUCACCUUUAAAUAUGUAGUGCUCCCCUGAAAGAGCAUCAAGAGUGACUGUGCAGAGAAACGAAUGAUUGAAAAAUUCAAGCUCUGAGCUCAAAGUUGGGGCUUCCACUUUCCAACUGGGGAAGAAAUAAUAAAGAAAACACAGAAUCCAUCAAAAAUAUUAAUCAAAUGGGUUUCUUCUAAUUCAAAAUUUGGACCACCCAAAUUCUGAUGAAGAAAUAACCAUUCAAAAUUCCAACAGAUUGAAGCUCUCACAGACUACAAAUUAUCAAUACCCAGCAAUAAAAAAUUUGAAAACAGUAAUAAUGAAGGAAAAAGAAAUUAAAGCUGCGAGCCAUUCUCUAAAUCUCAGGCACCAAUCCAAAUCACCAGUAAUUUGCACAUAAUGAUAAGAAUCUAGCAGUAUUUCCAUUGUUUAAAACCCAAAUUCUAGAAAUCAUGAAAAAUGGAAACUUUAUAUGGAAAUUGAAGCUUUACCUGCAGAUUAGCAGCAGCAAACGAAUCCAACGGCAUAUACCUCAAAAGUGAGUGACAGAGAAAGAGAGAGCUAAGAGAUGAGUGAGAGAAUCGAUAAACAAAAACCCCCAUAACCACAAAAGGAAAUUUGAACAAAAACAAAUAUGCAAAUCCAAAAUCACAAAAACGAAAUGAAACACCCACACCGAGAAAGUUGUAAAACUCACCAGAAGCACAGUGCUUCCCAAAAUUCUAGUUGUUUCACUCCUCUCUUCCCCAAAUUUACAGGUAUGUUUUUCUUUUCUGUAAUCUGAUUAUAAAUUAUUAAAGAUGAUUACACGAACCACCGAAAUCACCACCAAAUUUCAACAAAGAAGUAACUAAGCACAACAAAAAGAAGAAGAAAAAAAAGGUUAAACUCUGUUUACUACCCUCAUGUUUCGUGGUUUUCAACAUUUAGUACAUCAAGUUUUUUUCGUCCCAGAGUCAUACCUAAAGUGUUAAUUUUGGAACAAUCUCAUACAUCUGUUAGUCAAACUGUUUAUUCUCCCGUUAAGUGAUGACGUGGCACCUAUAUGGACAAUGACUGGACUCCAGGUGUCAUUAAAUAUAUUAAAAUAAUUAAUUAAAUAAAAGUUUUAAAAAAAAAACCCAUCCCUCCUUCCCCCCUCCCCCAACCCAACCCAACCCAGAAGAAGAAAAAGGUGGAGGAAGAAAAGGGAGAAAAAGAAACCAAAUCUGGGAAGAAGAAGAAGGAAAAAAAAACCGAAUUUGGGAAGAAGAAGAAGAAGAAGAAGAAUGAGGAGGAAGAAGAUGAAGAAGACGAAGAAGAAGGAGGGAGAAGAAGAGAAAGAAGAGGAAGAAGAAGAAGAAGAAGAAGGAAGAAGAAGAAAAAAAAAACCGAAUCUGGGAAGAAAAAGAAGAAGAAGAAGAAAAAAAAAACCGAAUCUGGGAAGAAGAAGAAAGAAGAAGAAGAAGGAAGAAGAAGAGGAAGAAGAAGAAGGAGAAGGAGGAAGAAUGAUGAAGUAGAAGAAGAAGAAAAAAAAAACUGAAUAUGGGAAGAAGAAGAAGAAGAAGAAGAAGAAAAAGAAAAAAAACAGCAGCCCAAACCCAGUUCGUCCCCCUCCCCCCUGCAACCCACCUGCCUUCUCCCUCGUCCCGCGAACACGACCCACCUGUCUUCCUUCUUCUUCUUCUGGGUUACAAAUUCGAUUUUUUUUCUUCUUCUUCUUCUUCUUCUUCUUCUUCUUCUUCUAGGGGGGGCGGGGGAGAAGGAUGGGGUUUUUUUUUAAUUUAUAUUUAAUUAAUUAUUUUAAUUUUUUUUUAAUGAGACGUGGCACCCAGUCAUUGUCCACAUAGGCACCACGUUAUCACUUAAUGGGAUAAUUAACAGUUUGACUAACGGAUGUAUGAGACUGUCCCAAAAUUAACAUUUUAGGUAUGACUCUAGGAUGAAAAAAACUUGAUGUACUAAAUGUUGAAAACCACGAAACAUUAGGGUAGUAAACAGAGUUUAAUAAAAAAAAAUCAAAUAUUUGGCUUUUGGGUAUUUGAGAAAAAGUGAGAUUUAAUUACCUGUCACAGGCUACAGUAAUUGGGAGCACGAUGGGGCGGCGAGGAGAUUGAACAGAUAAGGAAGCAAAGAUCGAACAUAUAUCACGAAGCGGAAUCAAAAUCGUCAAUCGUGUUGCAGAGCACAGUUUUUUCCUUUUUGGAUUUCUGCGGUUUCUGAGGAAGAAGUCGAGAGACUUAUUGGACACCUAAGGUUAUAACCGACCUUUUAAUGUGUAAUGUACACAAAAAAGCAAGACUUGAAGAGCAACUGAAGGGCAAAAUGGGAAGAACAUUGUCGAAGGAACAGUGUUUCAGUUCUUUUUCUCUUUUAGUUAAUAUAAUAUAAUUGCUAUGCUAAAACCCAUAGUUCAGAGAAGAAUCUUGCAUGAUCACUAACAACGUAAGGGAAAAUCAAACUUUGUGUUGCUUGUUUUAUGAAUCUCUUUAUUUUUUAUUUCAAAUUUAUGAGUGUCUCACUUUUCCACAGUUUCUAAUCUGUUAUUGUUUUGGGAAAGUGGUUAAAAUGGUAUGAAAUCAUAUCUCAAUUCUCAAUUUCUGAACUUAUCAAAAUCAAAUAUCGACAACAUACUGAAAAAUUGAUAAUUUCAGUGAUUGGGUAAAAAAUGAUCAUUUUAGCCAAAUUCCCUCUUAUUUUCUGUUGUCGUAAUUUAGAUUGCAACUUUUGUAAGUUUUUCUGAUUUUGGUGUUGGUUUUUGUAGUUAAGUAUCAAGGAAUGUGUCAAGCCCCUAUUUGGACAUUCGUUUAGAAUCGACACGUGACGUCACCAAAUACCUGUACAUCUACCAUACCCUACUUCCAGGAUACGGGCCAAACACAACUCACGAUCCAAAAGCAUAGUAAUUUUUUUCGUAUACUUUAUGGCUGCAUCUAACCUCCUCAUUAGAUUGCCUACGUAUCAUAAACAGGGAUCAAGCCAUUCAUAGUUCGUCCUUCACUACCCUUGAACAAUCAUCACAUAAAUAAAUAUGUCUCAAUAUAAUACCUUCAUCCAUACCAUGUAACAUAUCAAAUAACAAACGAAGCACAGUAAUAUUCUCUAGUCAUGUUGCCAUUCACCCACACAUAUGUUUUCCAACACCAUCCAACAAUCACACCAAUCAAUAACACAUACAAUACAUCGACAUGCAGGGCUAAAGUGACAAAGUUCGGUCGAAACCUACAUCUCUAAAGCUGAAAUCGAAUCCAAGGAACCCAAACCACCCCUAGCUCGUCCCAUAUUCCUUCACGAGCCCAGAGCUUAAACUCGAGCAACUCUCGGACCUCACAUCAGAGAAAACAGGAAAUGGAGAACUACGACAAGUUCUCAAAUUCUUUCGACCGAGGUAAAACUCGAAAUACCUUCAAUCUCUACCCUUUUGAUGUUCUGAUUCAAUUUUUGAGUUGUAUACGUGUUGUGACGACGUUUAGGUGCAAAAAUCACUCGAGGAUGAACUCCCUAGUUUUCUGGCGAAGUCCGCAAGUUUCAGACCAUUUUUCUGGCCAAAACCUUUGGGCCAUUGUUCUAGCCCAACCCAACAACUCAGUCAACCUAAUCUAACCUAGCAAACCUGGCCUAACCUAGUGACCCGGAUCUGUGAAACCUGCCCAAGCCUAGAUUCGUGGGCCAGAUCCACCCUGGGAUCCGGCCCGACCCAAUUCCCAAAUGGAUUUGAAAUAUUCCAGAAUAUUCCAAGAAUAUUCUUUGGAAUAUUCCUUGUGUUGACUUUUAUGAUAUUUUCUCACGAACCUUCUUAGACUAAUUUCGACGCCUUGAGUCCGUUUUUGACAUCUAUUUAGUGAAAUUAUAAAGAUUUAAUAUGGUUGACCGGCUCGGUGUCUCGAUUCACUUUUUGGGUCAACUGUUGACUUUUCGUUGACUUUUUACAAAAUUUACCCGGGACUUCUCGUAGGGUAAUUCGACGCGCUGAUUCUGAAUCUGCUGUCUGUUUCUCCAAAUUCAAAUGUUUUAAUUAAGUUUUUACUAAUGGGCCUCUAUUAUGCUUAGGUACUCUUUAGCAUUGGCGAAUUCUUAUUUACAUGUCUGAAUGUCAGUAACCUUGCAAGUACCUGUGAGUGGACCCCUUCUCAAAUUGCAUGUUUUCAUAACUAUUAGGCUUGCAUUCAUGAAAAUAAUAUUUUUUAUAAUUCUACAUUUUAUGAAUUAUUUAUGCUUCAUAUUUGAUUUAUAUUGCUUUCACGAAGUCUUUAUGAAUUAUCUUAAUAGAUUUUGAAGAAUUAUUUAUAAUCCAUUGGUUUAAUGUUUAUGAGAACUCGUAUUUAUGGAAAUCACGUUUAUGGAUUUAUAAGAUUUGAGAUAUGUUUUAUAUACUUAUCUAGUGGGUUAUCAUACAACACAUACACACAACCUGACUAUGUAGACGUCUAUGGCCAUAGGACACAGUUGAGGAUAUUUAUGACAUACUCCCAGCUUUACUGGCGAAACCAGUGUCGGACAACUUUAAUAGCCACGGCUAGUGUCGGUAUGUUAUGUUUAUAGUUAUAUUUUCUUCUCUCGCGUAACCCAGAGUCGUAUAGCUUCACCUUCGGGUGAUGGGACCUACCAUGUUUCUUCACCGGCAUAACCUAGAGUCGUACAACUUCACCUCCAGGUGAUGAUUAUGCCUUCGGGCGACUAUGAUACCCCUAGUUGAGUAUAUCACAGAGUUUAUUUACGAGAUUCUCAUAUCUGCCUUCGGGUGUUACUAUCGAUUUCCAAAGAGGAUUUUAUCGUUACAAAAUUUUUAGCAUGCUAGAGUUUCCAAAAAAACUAUUAUGUAGUAUUAUAUGGGUUUUCAAAACAGAGAGUUAAUAUGUUCAGAAAAAGAAAACGUUUUUUGUAUUAUUACUACUAUUAUUAUAAAUUAUCGUCCACUUACCCUUUCAUUCUUGCGCCCCCUUCAGGAUUUAGAAUCGAGACGUACGAUCCCGGCGUCAGGGCACUUCCGUAUAGGUAUCUUUGAGUCUUCUCAGUGUAUGGCCCAUUUCCCUUGUUCGUGCCUUUUUAUAAUUAUUCUUUCACAUUAUUCUUGCUUAGUUGUAGGCUCUGAACACGUUUCCUUAAUUGCGUAUUUCUUUAUAGUUACAUAUUUUAGUCACUUUUGUUUACUGAUACCACUUGCAUGCAUGUUAAAAUGGCUUCGUCACCUUUAGGUGUCAGCCAGCAUGUGCCUACCCUAGUAUUCGAGGAUAUCGGGGUUGGGGCAUGUCAGCCUGGGUGGUCGUAGGUGCACAGGGGCGCGCGUGGGCCAUCAGACCUUGGGCCUGCGCUGCGUGCUGGGCUAGUGCUUGCUCUUCAUGGGUCUGGGCCUAGCUAGUAGUGAGUUGGGCUCGACUGGUAACGAGCUGGUCCUUAGUCGUCUGCCCAUGGGUUCUUUUUGCUGGUUGGCCAGCUCUGCUGGUCUUCCGUGCACCUGGACCUGCUGCAGUGGCUUAGGCCUCAUUCCCUGGGCCUAAUAUGGCAGCUGUCACGUUUUCGACCUCUUACAUGUGGUUCGUGAGCCCCUGUUUCAACGUAGUUGGCCAUUUGUAGCACGCGCUUGGGCCUCGGCUUAGGCUGCUACUAUGAAAUCACAUUCUUGGAUUUCACUAUUAUAAUUUCCAUGUUUUGUAUUCGCGAAAUUUUAUAUUAUUUUUUGCAAAUUUAAUUUAAUUUAGUUAAUUUAGAAUUUUAAUUCCUUAGUUACAAAGUUUGAAAUUUUGAAAAGAAUCAUUUAAAAUUUGUAGACCUUUCAAGUUCAAAAUUAAUGUUUUCAAAAAAGAUCAAUCAUACGAACGUGUAGGCAAAAGCCGUUCACGAACGGAGCUAUAACAAAGUUAUGAGUGACGAAAGUUGGAGAUAAAUGUUAAUUUAGGAAUUUCUCUAAAUGAAAACUUACUAUUUUUAUUUGGAAGAGGGACCAAUCAGAUUGGGGAAAAGCCCAUUUAAUGGGAGGAUGGACUAAUCAGAAAUGGGAGGAAGGUUGACCAAUCAGAAAAGAUAGAACCAACAGAGCCGAAUCCUCCCUCAACCCGCAGGACCCGGUUUCUGGCGACUUUUGCUUCCUUUUUUUUGUCAAUUUUUCGACGAGUUGGAGACAUCCAUCACCACCACAUGACUCAUCAACCUCCCCUCUUCAAUUCUCACCUAAACUCAACUCAGUUUUACUCUAAUUUCAUGAUGAACUCCUUCGGCGAGUUCAUGAGUCCUGCAUUGGUGAUCUGCCAUUUUUUAAAGUUAUUUUUUUUACCACCACCACCCACAAACACCCUUUAAGCCCAGGAACAUGACCCAAACAAGUUUGGGGUGAACAGAGCAACGAAGAGGAUGAAUCAAAGUGCACCAUUUUUAGGGUUUUCCGAUGGAUCGUGGUAUUAUCAGGCCUUAGACCUCGACCCAUGUAUAAAACUUACUCCCUUCUUCAAGAUCUUUAUUUUGGUAUAAUUUGAGAAAUUUUGGAGUUAGGUGAAUUUUCGAACAAAUCGGGGCGGUCAACCACCUCGUGCGGCAGCGCGUGCUGGUGGCGCAUAGCUCGAGGACCCAUUUGGUCCUUCUUGAGUACAUUUGAUGCCCAAUUCCAUAUUUGAUAUCUGAUUGAAAAAAAUUUGUCGCUUGAACAUAUUUUCGUUAGGGUCCGCCACUUGAAUAUUGUAACUUUGAGAUGUGGAGGCAAUUGAAGAUUAGAGUUUGAUUAUCAAGGAAAUGGAAACAGGCUUCAAGCUUGGUUUGAGAUGUGGAGGCAACUGCUGAUACAUAUAUGUUUGGAUGCUAUGUUUAGAAUUAUUUAAUUUUGCAUUGACAUGGUUAAAAUUCUAGAAGAAAAAAAAUGAGAAAUUUCCUUGUUAUGAUGUUCAAGAUAUGAACUGUGAUAGCCACAACUAUUAUGUCAUAUUUUAGAAGGAAUACUUUUUGCCUUUAGCAACAUUUUUAUUUUGUUGAAAAGAAGGAAGAAAGAUGCUAUUUGUGGCAUUUGUUAUGCUAUUUGUUUCAUAGGAAAUCUGGAAAAAUCUACCAAAAAUCCCUCCAAUUUUUUUUCGUCAGCAAAAUCAAUUCCAAAAGAAAGAUUAAUGAGGCUUUCAAAAAAAUUUUAAAAAAAUUAAAAUGCUCAAAGUCCAAGAAUUCUCACCAAUUUAUUUUAGUCAUUAAAAUUAUACUUAAUGAGGUUUCCAAAAUUCUAGGCACAUUAAAAACAAUAUAAGGGCAAAUUUGGAAAUCAAAUUAAAAUAAUUAAAAUAGAUAAAUCAGAAAUAUAGGAGUGUGGAUUGAGAUUUUGAGGGUGUCAAUAACAGCUACCUAUGCAAUUUUGUUGGUUAUUAUGUACUAAAAUAUAUAAAUACAAAUAUAUAUAGGGAACUGUUAUUAUCACUCCAAAAAUUUUAUUCUACACUCCUCAUAAGUGUAUUUUUUUUUUUAAUUAUAGAAAGUUUGGAGUGUCAAAUGAGAUUUUUUGAGUGUCUAUAUAUAUAUUGUUGAUGCACAAAACCGGAGGUCUUGGAACAACGUAAAUCCGACCGUGAAUCUGCAUAAAAUGUAAAUAACACAAGAUGUAUCGUGGUUCACCCCAAGGUUUGGGCUACGUCCACAUUGAUAGUUGAUUCUGUUUCUCUGUAAUUGUAUGGAUACAAGUGUUUGGGGGAAGUCCCCCGGAGGAGAAAGAAGAGAAGGGAGAGGAGAGCCUCGGUGGUGUGAGGUCUCUCCUGAAUGUAAUGAUAGCUUCUCUUAGCCUUCUUAGGCUUGGCUCUUUUGCCUCCUUUAGAAUGAGGGUAGGAGUCCCCUUUUAUAGAAUAAGGGGCUCCUCCUCUUUUACAAAGUAUGGGCUUUAGUGUGAGGCCCAAAUACAAGGCCCAAGGCCCAAAUAUACGAGGCCCUAAAUAUGGUAUAAACAUAUAUAUAUUUGUUAAAUAGUUUUUUUUUUAUUUUUUUUAUUUUUGGAAAAUAAUUUAUAACGGGCAUUAGCUGUGGUCAAUUAGUAAUCGACAAUGGUCAUAGCAUGUGGUGUUAAACCCCAAUCCACCAAGGGUACAAUCCAUGGUUAUAUUGCAAUUGACAACGGGUAUAGCCUGUCGUAGAAACUGAGACUUUUUAUUACAUCUAGAAUACUAAUGAACACAGUAUCCGUGGUGGAUUGUAAUUUAUCACGGGUAGGUGUAGUAUUGGUACAAUUACCAUACCAAAACCCAUGUACCAACCUUAUGAUAUGACAAAAUCUAUUACCAUUACCGUGCCAAACUUUCGGUAUACCGAAUUUCGGCAUGCCAAAUAGUUUGAUCGGCAUGGUAUGGUGAUGAUAAUUACCACUUUGUUUUGGGCCAAAAUUUGAUUUUCUUUUUCUUUUUCUUUUUCCACCCAAUUCAAGGCCCAAACGUGUUUUGGCCACUUUUUUUGGCUUUCUAAAACUUUUUAAUUUAAUUAUGAGAAUUUUAUAGAGAUUCAUUUAAGAAACAAGAAGUAAAUAAAUAGAAGAAUUGCUGAAAGAACCCAACAUCCCAGAAAAAAAAUACCUCAAAGAUUCUUAAAUUCCAUUUCUACAUUAUUUAAAAUUGUACAAAAAUUAACUUGAUAGACGAAGCUAGGGAGAAAGACAUCUCAAUUUGAUGAAGGAGAAGAUGAGAUGGAUUGCGAAGAGAGAGAAUCUUCGGAACGGGAGCAACAUAGAUGAAGCUGAUGGCUAGAUGAGAGAAAAAAUGAAGAGUCGCAGAAUAAGAAGGCUUAUGUUUUUUAUUGGGAAAGUAGAGGCUAAACGGUGAGAUGAUUUGAUAAAUGACUAGGAAAAAAAUAUAUAAAAUGCAUACAUAAUGAUAAUAAUACAUAAUUAUAUAUAAAAAUGAAUAAAUAAACGGUAUAAUAUUAAUAGUGGUGGUACGGUAGGGUAUACCAUUGGUAAUAGUUUUAAGUAUCAAUAUUGUACCGAAAAUGUAUGGUACGGUAUAAAUACCGUACCAUUACCAAUGGUACAAAUUUUUUGGCACAACUUCUGUAUGGUAGGGUUGGUAAUUCGGUUAGUAUGGUAAUUUGGCAAAAAAUUUCAUCCCUCACAGGCAUUCAUCUAGAUAGAUGAACUUUUUUUUCCUAAUGUGUACCACUUAUGUUAUGAGCAUAAAGAAAAAUUUCUCUGAACAAGGAGCAAGUGGGAAUAAUAAAUCUGAACUAUAGCACGUACACGUAGAUAACAAGACGAGGAAAAGCAUCGAGGCAACGUUCUCCGAGAAGCUUUCAGGAACAAGAUCCGUUGACGACGAAGUAGACUUUCCUGUGCAUAGUCGACUUGGUGGGAAGUUUCCUCGUGGGGCCAUUUGAUUGGUGGGACAAAGACGUCCGUAAUUAUAAUUAUAAUGAUAGGAUUGAUUCCUCUACUCUAGAUUGAAUUGGAGCUGAAUGAUUGAAUUUGUAAGGCCCUGAUUGGGGGGAUUCCUCAUUGGUCAUCAUGGCUUUGAUUGAUUAAAUGGACAUAUAGCUAGCUUGAAUUGGAACUGAAUGAUUGCACUUAAACGGUCCUGAUUGGGCGGACUCCUCUUUGGUCAUCAUGGCUCUGAUUGAUAUCAGUAUAAAGAAAGACAUUGACCAUUCUGGUUUCCAACUCUCUCCAUCUACUGUUUUUGAGCAGAUCGGCUAAAGCUUGAAGAUGAACAAGUUGAUAAAGUUUGUUUAUUUUGUGUUUUUGAUUGAGUGUUUGAAUCGGUUUCUUUUUGGUAGGAUAGUAGAGAAAUUGAAAAAGAUAACUUGGAGAUUGGUUUCUGCUAUGCAAAUAAUGCAGCAGCCUUGAUUGAAUAAGAAGAGUGAUUUUUACACAAGAGUAUGGUGCAUUUCCAUCACCCAUACUUUCUACAAAAGGUGAUUGACAAGAGGCCUUAACAACCAUUAAGCCUUACUACUCCAGAUUACAUCUUAACCCUUCAUUUUGGGGUUAAAUGAUUUAAUCUGGAGUGUACAUUUGUCACUCACACACUUACACAAACAUUUAAAAACAAAACUAGCCGUUGGAGACUAGAACCCUUCAUUUUCUUUCUUCUUCUUCGAUGCAGAUGACAUCCUUUUGCUCGGGAGUAUCUUGCUGCCUUCGACUCCCCGACUCCAGGAGCUGGUUAGCUUCCAACACUCCCUUCUAAACUGCUUCUGGGAGUCAAUCCGAGCAAACCCCUCAGGUAAUUGAAUCUCUCCUUCGGUAGUGCUUUUGUGAAUAUGUCUGCGAUCUGAUCUUCUGUGCUGCAAUAGAUUAGCUUGAUUGUGUUGUCUUGCAAUGCUUCUCUGAUGAAAUGAUAUCUUCUCUUGAUGUGUUUUGUUCUCUGAUGAAAUACUGGGUUUUUAGUCAUGGCAAUUGCAGAGGUGUUGUCACACAGAAGUGGUGUGGCUUCAACUUGCAAUUCGCCAAAAUCUUUAAGUAUGAACCUUAGCCAAAUGGCUUGAGAUGUAGCUUCUGAUGCACUUACAUACUCUGCCUCGGCUGUGGACAGUGCAACACUUUGUUGCUUCACAGAGGCCCAUGAAAAAACCCCUGAUCCGAAAGUGAAAGCAUAGCCCGAUGUGCUUCUACUAUCAUCCUCACUGCCACCCCAGUCACUGUCACAGAAUCCAAUUAGAAUAGAUGACUUUCCCAUCUCAUAUUUGAUCCCAUAAUCAAGAGUUCCUUGCACAUAUCUUAGCACUCUCUUAGCCGUGCCCAUAUGUAUCUUGCUAGGAUUCUGCAUAAACCUAGAAAGUAGGCUUGCUGAGAACAUCAGAUCCGGCCUUGUUGCUGUUAGAUACAAUAGACUGCCAACAAUGCUUUUAUAGAGACUAGCAUCUGCAGGUUCACUUCCAUCCUCCUUCUUGAGCUUCUCAUUUGCAAUUAAGGGUGUAGAAAACUGGUUUGCAACCUUUCAAACCAAACUUUUCAAGCAAAGUUUCAGCAUACUUCUUUUGAUGAAUAAAAAUGCUACUUGCUUUUUGAAUUACCCCAAUGCCAAGAAAAUGAUGCAAGAGGCCUAGGUCAGUCAUCUCGUACCUCUUCAUCAUUUCUUCCUUGAACUCUUCCAUCAUUGCAGCAUCAUUUCCAGUGUAGACAACAUCAUCCACAUAGAUUGAGACAAUGAGUGUCUUGUUGUUGCUUUCUGUCUUGGUGUAGAGUGUAGCUUCACUAGGACUUUUCUGAAAUCCUUUCUCAAUGAAAUAUGAAUCAAUCUCACUGUACCAAGCUCUUGGAGCUUGUUUUAGGCCAUAAAGAGCCUUCCUCAACUUGUACACUUUUUCUGGAAACUCUUGAUUUGUGAACCCUUGAGGUUGUUCCACAAACACUUCCUCCUCUAGCACUCCAUUUAGAAAUGCAGAUUUAACAUCCAAUUGAUGCAACUUCCAACCCUUCUUGGCUGCUAGUGCUAUCAAGGUCCUUAUGGUGUCUAACCUUGCUACUGGAGCAAAGGUUUCAUUGAAGUCUACACCAGGUUUCUGUGAGUAACCUUUGGCCACUAACCUGGCCUUGUUCUUUUGCACAGAACCAUCUAGAUUUAGCUUCACUUUGUACACCCAUUUUACACCAAUCACAGGCUUCUCACUUGGUCGAUUUACAAGUUCCCAAGUGUCAUUCUUUUCUAUCAUUUCAAGCUCUUCCUUCAUUGCUUUCUUCCAAGCUUUGUCUUUCUCAGCUUCUUCAUACGUUUCUGGUUCUACUACACAGUAAUUACAUGUAGCAUAAAUCUCAUCCAGAUUUCUCAAUCUUACUGGAGUUGAACUAGGAGUUGUUGUCUGUGAUUGACUUGAUUGUGGACUCAUAGUAGCUUGCUGUGGAGUCCCUUGUAUGUCACCAUUAUCUGUGACUUCUUCUUGAACUGAGGUCUCUAUAGGCUCCCUUGUUUGCCUUUUGUUUAGGUCAAUUUGUAGAGAGACACUGUCCUUUUCCUCUACCAUUGUAUCCCAGUUCCACAUUGAGUCUUCAUCAAAGAUAAUAUCCCUUGAUAGGAUUAUCUUUUGAGUCAAUACAUUAUAAACUCUGUAUCCUUUCUCACUGGUACCAUAGCCUACAAAAACACCCUUGUUACUUGAUUUCUCCAACUUGUGCCUUAGUUGAUGAGGGAUGAGAUUGUAGCAUACUGAGCCAAACACUCUCAGAUGCUUCACAGAAGGCUUCCUUCCACUGAACACUUCAAAUGGAGUCUUCUUCUCCAAUGCCUUAGUAGGACACCUAUUCAAUAGAUACACUGAGGUGUGUUCACAGCUUCACCCCAAAAUUUAUAAGGCAUGUUCUUCUCAUGCAUCAUAGACUUAGCCAUUUCGACUAUAGUCCUAUUCUUCCUUUCUGCAAUCCCAUUCUGUUGUGGUGUAUAUGCCACAGUGAGUUGCUUCUCUAACCCUACAUCUUCACAAAAUACAUUGAACUCAUGUGAGGUGUACUCACCACCCCUAUCACUUCUUAGUCUUUUGAUUUGGUAUCCACUUUGCAAUUCCACCAUUGCCUUAAACUUCUUGAAUAUUGUGAAUACCUCAGACUUGAACCUCAUGAAAUACACACCACACAUCCGUGAAUAAUCAUCAUCAUGAAGGUUAGGAAAUACCUGUUUCCACUGAUUGUUGUUGUUCUCAUUGGUCCACACACAUCUGAGUGAAUCAAUUCGAGUGGCUUUGUUGCCCUCCAAGCCUUUCCAGCUUCAAAUGAAUCUCUGUGAUGCUUGCCAAACACACACCCUUCACAGAUUUCAUUGCAUUGAUCCAUUUUUUGGUAUACCUUGCACCAUUUCAUCCUUUUGCAGAUUUUGUAAGCUUGUCAUGUUUAAAUGACCAAGUCUCUUGUGCCAUAGUUUCAUAGAACUUGUCACACUUGCUUUCUUUGCCACUUCUUCUAAGUACUUCAGUACAAGUGGAAAGCUUCUGUUUUUCACUUCCACUUUGGUCACCAAGUUUGAUAGGGAUCUGUCAUCAUAGAUCUCAACCACAGUCCCCCCAAAGAGUAGGAAAUAGCCAUGCUCCAUCAUUUGACCCACACUAAGUAGAUUCUCAUCCAAUCCAGGCACUAGCAUCACCUCCCUUAUACAUCUUCUUCCUUUCUUGGUGUUGAUAACCAGAGUUCCUCUUCCAGUGGCUUUGACAAUGUUUCCAUCACCCAUUUUCACUUUUCCAGUGAAGUUUGUGUCGAUGUCAAUAAGUAAAGACUCAUGUGCAGUCAUGUGGUUGCUGCAGCCACUGUCAAUGUACCACACUUCAUUGUUUCUCUCCAUUUUUGCAUUGAAAGCACAGAACACAUUUGCUUCUUCUUCCACUUGAUUUGCACAGUUUACUUGUUGCACAUUCUUUGAUCUGCAGUCCUUCAUAAUGUGCCCAAACCUGUUGCAUUUGUGGCAUCUAGGCUUGUCCUUGAACCAACACUCUCCAAGGUGGAAUUUAUCACAGUGCUUACAUUGCUGCUUGGUUCUUGGACCUACAUUGGUGUUGCUGCCUUGGUUAGGUCUUGAGUUGUGAUACCCUUUUCCUUCCCAUUUCUUGCUUUUGCCCUUCCACUGUGGUUUCUGAUUGCUUGCACUGGCUUGACUGCUAGAUCCAACAUUGAGUGUUUGAAAGGCUUUCUCAGGUGCAGAGUCAGCAUGCCUCUCGAGCCUUUGAUCAAAAGCUCUUAAGGAUGCCAUCACCUCUUGUACACUGAGUGUUUCAGUGUCUUUGGUUUCUUCUAUAACACUCACUAUUGAAUCAUAGGGUUUAGUCAAACUAAUCAACAGUUUUUGGACAAUUCUUUCAUUAGGCAGUUCCUCACCAUAUGUUUUCAUCUUGUUUACAACAUCAUCAAACAGCCUAGUGAAGUAGUCUUUUAACAGCUCAUUUUUCCCUCAUUCUUGUAUACUCAAAAUCUCUUCUAAGGGACUGAAGUUUUACCUUUCUAACUUUGGUGUCUCCUCUGUAUUCUUGCUGUAAAACUUCCCAAGCUCCCUUUGCAGUCUCUUCAUUUGCUAUCCUCGGAAAAAUGGUGUUGUCUGAGACAGCACCUUGAAUGAUUCCAAGUGCUCUAGCAUCCUCCAUCCGAUUCUGCUUCAGUGUUUUGAGUUGUGUUUCUGUGAGAUCCUCCUCUAGAGCAUCGAUCUCCAUCUCAGGUAGUUCAUACCCAUGUUGAACCAUAUAUCCCAUAGAUCAUAGGAUUUGAAAAUGGUUGUCAUUCUUAUUCUCCAAAAAUCAUAAUUCUCCCCAUCAAAGACUGGAGCUUUUAGCUCACUGCUACUGCUGGAUCCUUUCAUUUCCAGAAUUGUUUGUUGAUUAUUGUUAUAGAAGACACUACGUUGGUGCUCCCAAAGAUCUUAUCUUGCACAGAUUACGCCCCGAAAGUUGUAAGAUCAAUAACAAAGCUCUGAGGCCAUGAUAAAGUUUGUUUAUUUUGUGUUUUUGAUUGAGUGUUUGAAUCGGUUUCUUUUUGGUAGGAUAGUAGAGAAAUUGAAAAAGAUAACUUGGAGAUUGGUUUCUGCUAUGCAAAUAAUGCAGCAGCCUUGAUUGAAUAAGAAGAGUGAUUUUACACAAGAGUAUGGUGCAUUUCCAUCACCCAUACUUUCUACAAAAGGUGAUUGACAAGAGGCCUUAACAACCAUUAAGCCUUACUACUCCAGAUUACAUCUUAACCCUUCAUUUUGGGGUUAAAUGAUUUAAUCUGGAGUGUACAUUUGUCACUCACACACUUACACAAACAUUUAAAAACAAAACUAGCCGUUGGAGACUAGAACCCUUCAUUUUCUUUCUUCUUCUUCGAUGCAGAUGACAUCCUUUUGCUCGGGAGUAUCUUGCUGCCUUCGACUCCCCGACUCCAGGAGCUGGUUAGCUUCCAACACAAGUAAGUCAACUUCAAACUCCUCGUAUCCUUAUUUUUCUUUGAAUCCUUUGUCGUUGAUUGAUCUUAUACUGUCUUGAUUAAGCAGACAUUGUUCUGAAAUGGCUGAAGGGUGUUUUUCAACAAGUAAAAGCUCUUACGGUUAAAUCUGGCAAAAGAAACUUACAAAACGCUUUUAGAUAGUGUAAGCUCUUUUCGGAGAAGCACUUGCUAUGGCUAGACUUUUACCAAACACAAUUUUAGCUCCAACUUUUCUAAAAACUGUUUUUAAAAAUAAAAUUGAGCAACCUCAGACCCGCCCAUGUCAACAUUCAAGUUUUCAAGUGCUUUUUCAAAGAGCACUUGAGUAUUUAAUAAACAUGUCUAAUCUGUUCAUAGUAAAAGAGAACUGCUUAUGAGUAGAGUGUUUCUUACGAGUACAAUGGCUUUAUAAUCGUCCUUAUAAUUUACCCAUGUGGAAUUUCAUUCUUACUAGUGUUUUGCUAAAGUGACUUCACUAGAAAUACGGCGAAAGUUCUUUAGAAAACACUUCUCCUACUCGUAUACAUUUUUAAGUUUUUCUUUCAAUAUAAUGAAAAACAUUUUUUAUCGUUAGAUUGACAUUGUUAGCUAUUUCAAAAGCAGUUUCAAACGUGUUUAUUAUUAUAUGGUUGGGUGUUAUUUGCUUACAUACUCCAUUUAACUUUGUUUCAAUAUUUUGUUGGUGAUGACAGUAUUAGCAGUGCUGGGCUUGAACUAGAAAAUGUGCUGGUGACUUCUCCUCCCCUGCACCAGUCAUGGGACGCUGUUCAGAAGCAAAAGCUCAACACAGCUCCUGAUCCGAAUGCACAAACGGCCUUAUAUGUUACUGAAACCAAGCACUCAAACACCACCAUCAUAUCUUUUCUUACUUCACCCGUCACACUUCAAGAUCAACAAGCGAUGAUUUCGUCGUUGACUCUCAGGGACAAAAAAUUUCCCCUCUUUGAGUUUUUGUGCACCA
This 23219-nucleotide long non-coding RNA is filed under the name Malus domestica (apple). Its description in RNAcentral is "long non-coding RNA (MDOM_LNC007860)". Lineage: Eukaryota; Viridiplantae; Streptophyta; Magnoliopsida; Rosales; Rosaceae. The record is from RNAcentral.